UUAGGAAUGACAUUAAGUAGCAAUAUAAAAUACCGUGAUAAGUCAAAACAUACCGUAGAAGAAAGCAUAAGGCUUUAUAUUCUAGUAGCUUUAUGGGCACCUUUUUCCUCUUAUUGAACCAGUGCCUCCAAAUUCUCAUUUUGCACUGGGCCCCUCAAAUUAUGUCAUCUUCCCUGGGUCCAGUGAUCUAUGUUCUCUCUGCAGUAUGACUGCAAUAAAAGCUUCUAGUCAGAAAAGGGAAGAAUAGGAUAUGCAUAGCUGUCAAUGACCCAUAGUAAUUGUUAACUCCUUCAGGGUAGGCACUGUGAAGGGUGACCACUCAAGAUGGGGGGUAGUUUCUUGUUCUGUUUCUGAUUCUUCUUUCUGUGGCCUUGGCUGCUCUCUCUGAGAGUUUCUUCCUUAACCAUCGUCCUCCACAGCAAUAUCCUCUCCUUGUGAACCGUGCAGCUUUCAAACCUCUCUUCCUCCCCAAGGGUGGUUUUAAGGCCUUUUUUAACCCUGGCUCGUGGCUUCUUCGGCACUACAAUUUCUUCAAAAAAAAAUUUAGCACAGAAGAGAGUGAGAAGGGGUGAAGAACAGAUCUGGAGGAGCCAAUGAAGGAUAUCUGGCACAUCCGUGAAAUCACUUACUCAUACACCUGUGAACUGUAAGAGACUGAAAGUGAACUGACAGGUGAGAGUCAAGACCUCUAGAUGUGGAACUCCGUCACUUCCCUCAGAACCCCUCCUGUUAUCAUUUGUGAUUAGUCCGUUGGAGUCUCUAAGCGGGAUGCUUCUCUCAACAAAUUGAGAAAUAUGACAUGUGGCAUAUGCAGACAAAUUAUUUUUAUUACGAAAAUUCUAGGUUGGAGAAUGUAGCUUAAUGUGAGAGUCAAACAGGCCUGCUAACACGACCCCAUUAGCUCCAGACAUUAGGACUGGGGCAGACAUCCCCAAGAGAGAAGACUGCUCAGUUAAGAUUGACAGCAUUGAGUCAGAGGGGUGGAUCGAUUAAGUUUGCCUAGGAAGGUCCCUUCUGAUAGAAGCAAGGUGUGUGAAAACAACAUUCCCCUCUACCGAAGAUGACUUACACAGAUCCAGUGAGGGACACAGGGCCAACCCAUACAUUAAAUACCAGGAACUUUUAAUGUAUUCUUUUUAAAUAAAAAUACAUAUAAGUAUACAUUUUAAUGUUUUCUUCCUCUCACCCCAAGAGAUUUUUCUGUAGACCCCUUGAAUACAUAUACACCUCUUUUGAAACUACUGGGCUGAAGAGUACACUAUUGGACCGCUGUUGGCACGUUUAGUCCUAGCCCAGCUCCUGGUAAACUUCCUGGCCAAAAGCAGGAGGAAUUUCGUACCUUGUGCUUAGUUCGCCUCUAACACUGUUUUCACUCUCAUGCAGAUGUGCCAGCAUCAGGGUUAGCCCCAGUCUUACUCCCCUCCAAGCUUCAAGCCCAUCUUCUGCUGAGCAUGUUCUCUGGCUCUUUGUGGAUGGCUCAGCA
This 1483-nucleotide long non-coding RNA is filed under the name Equus asinus (donkey). RNAcentral's name for it is "lncRNA (ENSEASG00005028743.1)". Lineage: Eukaryota; Metazoa; Chordata; Mammalia; Perissodactyla; Equidae. The record is from RNAcentral.